AUUGAACGCUGGCGGCAUGCCUUACACAUGCAAGUCGAACGGUAACAGGUCUUCGGAUGCUGACGAGUGGCGAACGGGUGAGUAAUACAUCGGAACGUGCCCGAUCGUGGGGGAUAACGGAGCGAAAGCUUUGCUAAUACCGCAUACGAUCUACGGAUGAAAGCAGGGGACCGCAAGGCCUUGCGCGGACGGAGCGGCCGAUGGCAGAUUAGGUAGUUGGUGGGAUAAAAGCUUACCAAGCCGACGAUCUGUAGCUGGUCUGAGAGGACGACCAGCCACACUGGGACUGAGACACGGCCCAGACUCCUACGGGAGGCAGCAGUGGGGAAUUUUGGACAAUGGGCGAAAGCCUGAUCCAACCAUGCCGCGUGCAGGAUGAAGGCCUUCGGGUUGUAAACUGCUUUUGUACGGAACGAAAAGACUCUUUCUAAUAAAGAGGGUCCAUGACGGUACCGUAAGAAUAAGCACCGGCUAACUACGUG
This 482-nucleotide ribosomal RNA is filed under the name uncultured bacterium. RNAcentral describes it as "partial 16S ribosomal RNA". It matches the Rfam family "Bacterial small subunit ribosomal RNA", at positions 30 to 507 of the family's 1533-position model. The record is from RNAcentral.